CGGGGGCACCAAGGCUCAGCUCAGCAUUUCCUGGAGGACCCCAGACAGAGACCCCAGAGCCUCCUGCUGCCUGGCAGCUCCCUGGAAGCCACAGUGCUGAGCGCCCGGCGUGGACCCCCACAGCCUGGGGCCGGGCUCUGCCUCGGUCCACACCGUGCCUGAGCUGAACGCGGGCCAGAGACGGUCCAGCGUCACGCUUCCCAGCAGCGUCCGGUCUGCAGGUGGCCCUGGGGAAACUUUCAUGGGCCAUGUUCCUCUCUGGCCACAGCAGAGAUGCCACGCCCCCGCAACAGGACACACAGAACUUGAAUUCAGGCAGAUUCCCAGUUACCAGGUCACAGAGAAGGGCACGGCAGUAAUCCUGAGGUGCGACCCCAUCUCUGGUCACUUACUCCUACAUUGCUACAGACAGAUCCUGGGGCAGAAAGUGGAGUUUCUCAUUUUAUUCGACAAGGUUACUCUCUUGGAGAAGUCUCAAACGUUCAAGGAUCGAUUCUCAGCUGGAAGACCUGAUGGAUCCUUCUGGACUCUACGGAUCCAGCCCAGAGAGCUGGGAGACUCAGCCGUCACCUCUGGGCCAGCCGCGCAUACGCAGCCUUGCAAAGACACCUCCAGCCUGCACACAGCCUUCAUGGUUCUGCCUCUUUUCUAGCUCCUGGCAGCUCUCUCUGGUUGGACUUGCGUUUUCAGCUGCCCCCAAAGACACAAAUAUCUGAAAUUAAAUUACCGAAGUAGGGUAUCUUUGGCGACAUGGUCACGGGGCACUGCUUGCAGACUCUUUGUGGACGAUGUAGAGCGUGUCUGCGGGCUCCAGGGACAGAGAGUGGUUGCCCAGGGAGUGACCAAACAUGACCUGGGUUUUCUCUUUACCAUCUUUCGCAUCUUGAUUUUGUUUUGUUUUAGUAGCUCAGAAAAGGUCAUUUUAACACACAAGUUGGGGAAAUGAUUGCAAAAGAAGGGCUUUGGUAUUUGCAUGAGAGUAGAGAGGAGGUCCAACCAUAAAUCUUCAGAAGGACGAGCAAGUCGGCACCAGGGCCUGAACUGUCCAUGAGUCUUUCCCGAAUUGCAGCUGGCCACCACGUUGAAGACCUUAUCUUUUGGACUUGAAGCAAAGCAAGGGGUGGACCGUAUCAAAUCCCUCUUUUGCAUCACUGCCUGUCUUCUUGGCCCCACCCCUGAUUCCAGCCACAACUAUUUCAUGCAACUCUCUUAUAUAUGGACCAUGUAGGGAUGACCGUGUGGCUCAGUUUGUAAAGUGUCUGCCUUUGGCUCAGGUCAUGAGCCCAGACUCUGGGAUCGAAUCCCACAUCAAGCCCCACAUUGAGCCGCACACUGAGCCCCACCUUGGGCUCCCUGCUCAGCAGGGAGUCUGCUUCUCCCUCUACCCCUCCCCCUGCUUGUGCUCUCUCUCUCCCUCUCUCAAAUAAAUAAAAAUUUUUUAAAAAAUGUGAACCAUGUACCUGGCUUUCUUCCUGAAGUGUCUGUGACCACGGCUGAGACCCAUGAAUGGCCUAUUCGAAACUCACACACGCACAACCCAGAAGUGUCAGGGAGUCAAUGCUCUAUGGGACCCUCCCCAAUCAGUGGGGAAAGAGAACUAAUGGUAAAGUUUGUAUUUGUUUCAAACUCACUAGAAAGUUCUAGAUUGAUGAGCAGCUUCUAAUGUAUAAUAAUGGCCCAAUUCAUAGACAUAUUUCAGAUUUUCCAUCCCUUUUGUUUCUGUACAUGAUUUGGCCUGGAUAUUUCCAUCUGACUUAUCUUCCACGUUACUUAUUCUUUUCAGCUGUUAUCUGUUCUGCUUUUAAACCCAUAUAUUGAAAUCUUAAUCGUAGGUAUCCUAUAUUUUGGCUCUAUAAUAUCCAUUUAAAUAUUUACUACUAAGGUUUCCAGUUAUCUACUAAAAUUCUCCAUUUUGUCAUUUCCUUUGUGGAAUAUAUUCAUGGUUAUUUUCAUGUCAGUGUCUGAAAACUCCACCUGAAUCAUUAGGGGUUAGUUUCUUCUGUCUGUUUGUUCUUCUUGGUUUUGACCAUGUGAUCUUGUUUCCUCACACAACAGGUAGUAUGUGUUUGAACGCCAGAUAUUGGAUAUGAAAAACUGUAGAGAUAAGGUGAAGUUCUGGGUGACGUAUUUUCUUAU
This is a long non-coding RNA of Ailuropoda melanoleuca (giant panda), 2136 nucleotides long. RefSeq lists it as uncharacterized. The transcript has 3 exons. The record is from RefSeq and is a predicted model, not a curated record. Lineage: Eukaryota; Metazoa; Chordata; Mammalia; Carnivora; Ursidae.